This 669-nucleotide ribosomal RNA is filed under the name uncultured bacterium. RNAcentral's name for it is "bacterial SSU rRNA". It matches the Rfam family "Bacterial small subunit ribosomal RNA", at positions 699 to 1368 of the family's 1533-position model. The record is from RNAcentral.
UGGAGGAGUANCGAUGGGGAAGGGAGCCCCUUGUGAUAACACGUUCGUUUAUGCAGGAAAGCGUGGGGAGCAAACAUGAUUUGAUUUCCUGGGCGUUCGCGCCCUUAACGAUGUGUAGUAGGUGUCGGGUCUUAACUGACUUGUUAACGCAGCUCCCCGCGUGAAGUAGACCCCCUGGGGAGUACUGUCGCAAGAUUUAUACUCUAAGGAAGUGACGGGGACCCGCACAAUCGGUGGAUGAGGUGGAUUAAUUCGAUGCAACUCGAAAAACCUUACCUACCCUUGACAUGGUCAGAAUCUUUGAAAAAUCAGAGAGUGCUCACAAGAGAACUGAUACACACGUGCUGCAUGGCUGUCGUCAGCUCGUGUUGUUAGAUGUUGGGUUAAGUUCAGCAACGAGCGCAACCCUUGUCAUUAAUUGCCAUCAUUUAGUUGGGCACUUUAAUGAGACUACCGGUGACAAACCGGAUGAAGGUGGGGACGACGUCAAGUCCUCAUGGCCCUUAUGGGUAGGGUUUCACACGUCAUACAAUGGUACAUACAGAGGGUCGCCAAGCCGCGAGGUGGAGCUAAUCCCAGAAAGUGUAUCAUAGUCCGGAUCGUAGUCUGCAACUUGACUGCAUGAAGUUGGAAUCGCUAGUAAUCAUUGAUCAGCAUUCGCGGUGAAUA